Molecule: ribosomal RNA, 250 nt
Filed under: uncultured bacterium
Lineage: Bacteria
Description: partial 16S ribosomal RNA
Rfam family: Bacterial small subunit ribosomal RNA
Source: RNAcentral
UACGUAGGGGGCAAGCGUUAUCCGGAUUUACUGGGUGUAAAGGGAGCGUAGGUGGUUAGGUAAGUCAGAUGUGAAAGCCCGGGGCUCAACCCCGGGACUGCAUUUGAAACUAUCUAACUAGAGUGCAGGAGAGGUAAGUGGAAUUCCUAGUGUAGCGGUGAAAUGCGUAGAUAUUAGGAGGAACACCAGUGGCGAAGGCGGCUUACUGGACUGUAACUGACACUGAGGCUCGAAAGCGUGGGGAGCAAAC